GUCUGUAUUAGUCAGCAUUGGCUUGGCUCUCUGAAACUGUCAAAAGUAGCUCAAAGCAGCAAAAACGUUAUUUCACUCUACUGCAGCAGCAGCGGCCCAAGUGUGGGGAGGAGGAGAAGCUGCGUUCAGACCAUCACAACCAGAGACCUAGGGCUGCCGAGGGAGUGGCUGGUGUGACCGGCAUGGUUCCUGCAGGAGGAAGAACCCACUCCUAAUACACAGGGCAGAGGAGAAGAAGCUUACACAACCUAUAUUGUUACAUGAAAAGAGGAAAACAUUUCGAAAUCUGGAGCCAGAAUCCUUUUAAGAUCGUGACAUCACUUACGGAGGGUGUUUCGCUCUUCACAGUGCAGCUGCCGUCACAUCCCUUUGAACUUACGUUCCAUGUAGCAGCUGUAAAGAAAUUGCAGAGGGAAAAGGGCGUAAGCUAGCCGCCCUGUCACAGGAGCAUUUUUUGAUGCCCGACCAGACAACUUCUACUGACGUGCUGGACCAUCUAAUAAAGGAGCUGGAAGAUGCAA
Molecule: long non-coding RNA, 521 nt
Organism: Chinchilla lanigera (long-tailed chinchilla)
Lineage: Eukaryota; Metazoa; Chordata; Mammalia; Rodentia; Chinchillidae
Exons: 4
Source: RefSeq, a predicted model, not a curated record